RNAcentral lists this ribosomal RNA (950 nucleotides) under Trichopteryx hemana. Its description in RNAcentral is "partial 16S rRNA". The record is from RNAcentral. Lineage: Eukaryota; Metazoa; Arthropoda; Insecta; Lepidoptera; Geometridae.
AAAGAGCUAAUUAAUUAAAAAAGUUACUGUGGUAAAAUUAUUUUAAAUAAUUAAUUUGCAAUGAAAUGUUAUUCGUUUUUAAAUAUAUCUAGUUUUUUAAGAAAAAAAUUUAAUUUUAAAUUUUUUAGGGGAUAAAUUAAUUGAUUAAUUUAUUUUUGAAAAAAUUUUAUAUUUUAGGGGAUAAGCUUUAAAUUAAAAUUUUAUAAUAAUUUAAAUUAAAAUUAUUGAAAAUUAUAUAAUUUAUAUUGUUAAUAAAAUUUAAUUUAUUAUAAAUAAUUUCAUUAAAAUAAAAAUUUAAUUUAAUUUAAUUUUUUAUUAAAAAAUAUUUUUUAAUGGGAAAAAAUUAGUUAUAAUGAUGAAAUUAGUAUAUAUUUAUUUAAGUUAAAUAUUAUUUUUAAUUUAAUUUAAUUAAUAAAAAGGAAUUCGGCAAAACUUAUAUUCACUUGUUUAACAAAAACAUGUCUUUUUGUAUUUAAUUUAAAGUCUAAUCUGCCCACUGAUUUAAUUAUUAAAGGGCUGCAGUAUAUUGACUGUACAAAGGUAGCAUAAUCAUUAGUCAUUUAAUUGAUGACUUGUAUGAAAGAUUGGAUGAAAUAUUGACUGUCUCUUUAUUAAUAUAUAGAACUUAAUUUUUUAAUCAAAAAGUUAAAAUAAAUUAAAAAGACGAGAAGACCCUAUAGAGUUUAAUAAAUUAAUUUAUUUAAAAUUAUUUAUAAUUAAUAAAUUAAAAUAAAUUUAUUUAUUUUGUUGGGGUGACAAAAAAAUAUAAAUAACUUUUUUAAAACAAUAAACAUAAAUAAGUGAUAAUUUGAUCCAAUUUUAUUGAUUAAAAGAAAAAAUUACCUUAGGGAUAACAGCGUAAUUUUUUUUUUUAGUACAAAUAAGAAAAAGAGUUUGCGACCUCGAUGUUGGAUUAAGAUAAAAUUUAAACGCAAAAGUUUAAAAUUUUG